CACACACACACACACACAAU
Molecule: microRNA, 20 nt
Filed under: Corchorus capsularis
Lineage: Eukaryota; Viridiplantae; Streptophyta; Magnoliopsida; Malvales; Malvaceae
Description: sRNA CCACVL1_03445
Source: RNAcentral